UGCUAUCCCCUCCCCGGUGAGGAGUCACGCGGCACGUUAAACUUAAAGGAUUGGGGGGGGCCCCCGCAGAGGCGAGAGAACUGUGUGUUUUAUUGGGUGGUCGGGGAGAGAUCCUUACCCUGGGCUGGAAGGCCUUCGACGAGACACAGGAGUCGUUUCCUUUUCUUCGGAAGAAUUUUGGUCCCGCAUGGUUGUCCUCAGCUCCUCCGGGAAGGUGUCGACAAAGGUCCUAAAGCGAGCGCAUCUCUACGGCGGGUUACCAUGCGGGUUACCGCGGGGACCCCGGGCGCCACGCCGCCCGCAAGCCGCGAGAAUGUUGAGAAUGACGUCAAAUCAGCACGCCCUUUACGUCGGGGGCCCACACACGUGUUACAUUGGGGGCACAGAAAGCUGGAUGCCGGGCGACGGUGUCGAAUCCUCAAAUCCCCUCCCCAGUUCGGACUGGAGUCUGCAACCCGACUCCACGAAGCUGGAUUCGCUAGUAAUCGCGCAUCAGCCAUGGCGCGGUGAAUACGUCCCGGGCGUGUACACACCGCCCGUCAAGCCAUGAAAGCCGGGGGCGCCUGAAGUCCGUAGCCGGAAGGCGCGGCCUAGGGCGAUACCGGUGAUGGGGCUAAGUCGUAACAAGGUAACCUA
This 636-nucleotide ribosomal RNA is filed under the name uncultured bacterium. Its description in RNAcentral is "bacterial SSU rRNA". It matches the Rfam family "Bacterial small subunit ribosomal RNA", at positions 874 to 1503 of the family's 1533-position model. The record is from RNAcentral.